CAGGAUGAACGCUGGCGGCGUGCCUAACACAUGCAAGUCGAGCGAUUACUUCGGUAAAGAGCGGCGGACGGGUGAGUAACGCGUGGGUAACCUGCCUCAUACACAUGGAUAACAUACCGAAAGGUAUGCUAAUACAGGAUAAUAUAAGAGAUUCACAUGGAUUUUUUAUCAAAGCUCCGGCGGUAUGAGAUGGACCCGCGUCUGAUUAGCUAGUUGGUAAGGUAAUGGCUUACCAAGGCGACGAUCAGUAGCCGACCUGAGAGGGUGAUCGGCCACAUUGGAACUGAGACACGGUCCAAACUCCUACGGGAGGCAGCAGUGGGGAAUAUUGCACAAUGGGCGAAAGCCUGAUGCAGCAACGCCGCGUGAGUGAUGAAGGCCUUCGGGUCGUAAAACUCUGUCCUCAAGGAAGAUAAUGACGGUACUUGAGGAGGAAGCCCCGGCUAACUACGUGCCAGCCGCCGC
RNAcentral lists this ribosomal RNA (465 nucleotides) under uncultured bacterium. Its description in RNAcentral is "bacterial SSU rRNA". It matches the Rfam family "Bacterial small subunit ribosomal RNA", at positions 25 to 518 of the family's 1533-position model. The record is from RNAcentral.